UUUCCCAGAAGGCUCUGCGGCGCCCACUUUCUGGUUGCGGAUUAGACGGGAACGUUAUGUAGCUUGCCUGACGUCUGGAAGAACUUGCAGGCUGGAGAAGGAAGGGCGACAUUUUCUCUGUUAAAACAACCUACGUGCUCCAGGCUGGGGUUCCCUCGCCUACUGCGAUUGGCUUCUGGAAUCCCUCCUUACCACUGUGACCUGAUGCCAUUUGCCAGGCAGUGAAGGUUAACGAAGUCAGUGUGUCAUAACCAUCUCCUCCAUCCUGCCCCUGUCAAGGGGCAGCUGCAAAACUAGUCACAUGCCUUGGGGAGAGCCAGCUGGCACUUCAUGAAGAGCUCUAAGGGAGAUGCACACAGUGAAGAACUGAGUCUACUGCUAACAGCCAGCAUCAGUUUUCUGGUCAUGCUCCGCCGUGGUAGCAGAUCCUGCAGUCCAAGUCAAGCCUUUGGAGAAAAUCCCCAGCUAACAUCUGUGUGGAAGCCUCACCAUAUAAUUAAGUCACUCCUUGGAUCUCUUCCUGCUAAUGCAGACCCCGGGAUGGCUCAUCAGUUGAGUUCCUGCCACCUGGAAUCAGUACCUAGCUACCGAGCCCCAACUGUUGUAAGUAUUUGGGAGUGAACUGACAAGUGCGAGCUCUCUGUCUACCAGUCUCUGUCUCUUUCAUUCUCUCUCUUCCUCUUUCUCAAGAAAAAAAAAAAAAGUUGGUACAUGAUUUGUGGGACUAGAGGAAAUGCAUUUUGAGAAGUUCUCCACAGGACCAUCCAGUUUGAAGGACUCUGGCUUAACAGUUAAGGGUACCAGUGUUAGAAUAUGAUGAACUUGUGUUUGAAUCCUGAUGCAGCCAUUUAUUUUCCAGGUGAUCUCUGGCCGGCUAAUUAAGCAAUCUGUCUCAGGUUUCAUCAUUUUCACGUUGAAGAAAAUAAUAAGGUCUACCCCACAGGAUCAUUGUGUGGAUUAAAAGAGCUAAUUUAUGCAAAGCUCAAAGCUUUGCAUAAAUAGGCUCUCAAUAAAUGGUAACUAUUGUUAUCAGCAUACUUUAUGCACACUACUUGCAAACAGUAUUGUACAGUUUCAUUACUAUGGAUAAUUGAUACCAAUUGGCGGGAACUAGGAUUCUCUAUAGCUACUUCUCAAAAUGAGUGCAAUGGCCUGCGGUCACACAGAAGGUCCCUAAAGGUCUUCCGGACCUGCUCAAUGGGUCCCAGCUGCCCCACCUAUCUUCCCUUUCUCCUUUUCUGCUGUCAGCCCAAGAAUCCUCUCCACGCAAUGGCUCUGUUUUCCUGCUUCCCACUCCCUCUUCACACCUUGCAAUUUGUAUUCUGCUGUUGCUGUUUCCUUGAAAGACUCUCAGCAAGGUCUUCAGUGUCUUCCAUGUUGCCAAAUUCAAUGGGUAUUUUAAAGUCCCCAUCCCAUGUGAGCCUCCUGUUUUUUUUUUUUUUUUUUUUUUUUUUUUUUACACUGUUGUUGGCUUAUUCCCUAUUGGGACUUUCUCUCUUGGUUUCCAGGACUUCACAGUUCUGUUUUUUCUAAGUCUGGGAUCAGUUUCUUCUGGUGAAACUUUACCUUUUUCCUCAUUAUCAACAGCUGUUUUCUGCCCUUGUCAAUUCUUCAUUUUCUCCUCAUUGUGCUUCACUAUUCCUUUUCUUUCUCUGACAAGAGCCCACUAUCAUUGAACUUUUCUAAAUUCUAGGUGAAUUUUCUGCCUUUUUAGGAUAUAUUUGUCUAAUGCAACCUUUCCCCUCUUUCCUCUAUGAGGUGAGAAUAGUUAAAUCAGACCGAAGAAGUCUCUUCAGAGCUCUUCAUAGGAGGCCAAGCAAAACCCAUGAUAAUAGGACCUGAAUUUUCUGUAGAUCAGGCCCCCUCAGAUAAACUUAAUAGUCCCAAGUUACACUGAUAUUGGAGAUAGAGUCACUGAAUGCAUUCUCUCAGCUCAGACACCAAGGUCUUAUGUCUGGGCUGUGGCUUCUCUGAUACUCAGUGCCUUUCAGAGGCAGUUGGGCCCAUUCCUGUCAAUGACUUGACUUUGGACCUUGCUUUAACCUCUCUGGUUUCAGUUUUGUCAUAGAUGAAAUGCAAGAGUUGAAAUAGUUAUCUAACUCUGUGGUACCAUCAUGAUUAACUUUGUCAUCAUUCGUACAACCCUUGAUUUCACUCCUAGAAAUGCAUCCCACAGAAAUACUCUCCCAAGUACAUGAGGAUGUAUGCAUGCAAGAAUGUUUGUAUGAACCUCAUCAAGAGAGGACUGGUUAAAUAACUUAGGGUAAUGUUCUAAGCCUGCACUGCCCAGAGUAGACAGUAUGCUCUUUGCUACUGGACCACUAGGAGAUAAGGAGUUUGAACCAGAACAUAAUUCAAUAAAACACACACAAAUACCAGCCGAAGUGAACAGAGUAUGUACAAGCAUUCUGGUGCAAGCUCAUUUCUUAGCUGUUCUCAGUCCAGCAGCAAACGAUUUCCAGAUCAGUGCCAACUGGUUUACAGCCCACCCUUGGAGUAACACUGCUAAAGCUUAACAAAAAUGAGGUGGAGACAGGCGCAAAGAAUACCUAACAUACUGUCUUAGUGAGUUUUCUGUUACUGUAAUAAAGCACCUGAGACCAGGUAGUUGAUACAAGUACAAGUUCAUUUGGCUCAGCCGGCACCACGGCUCAAUAGGCUAAUCCUCUGCCUUGCAGUGCUGGCACACCGGGUUCUAGUCCCGGUCGGGGCGCCGGAUUCUGUCCCGGUUGCCCCUUUUCCAGGCCAGCUCUCUGCUGUGGCCUGGGAGUGCUGUGGAGGAUGGCCUAGGUGCUUGGGCCCUGCACCCCAUGGGAGACCAGGAUUAGUACCUGGCUCCUGCCUUCAGAUCAGCGCAGUGCGCUGGCCGCAGCGGCCAUUGGAGGGUGAACCAAUGGGAAAAGGAAGACCUUUCUCUCUGUCUCUCUCUCUCACUGUCCACUCUGCCUGUCAAAAAAAAAAAAAAGUUUAUUUGGCUUAUGGUUCAGGAGGCUUGGAAAUGUGGGAGCACGGUGCUGCUAUCUGCUUGGCAUCUGUCCUACUAUACCAUAGCAUCGCAGAGGUGUCACAUGCUAACUCAGGUCUCAUUCUCUUAUUAUAAAGCCAUUAGUGCCAUCCUGGGGACCCCACCUUCAUGACUGCAUCUAAUCCUUUUUGCCUCCAAAUACCGUUAGUGUAUUAAUUUGGUGAUUAAGUUUUGAACUUUUGGGAUUUUCAAAAAAAGAUAUACUAUUUAAAAGAUAUACUGUUAGAAGAAAAAAGUAUGCCACAGAAGAGUAAGGUGUUUUCAAAAUCAGAGCUCUAGGCCAAAAAGGGCUAUAAAAGCACACAGAUAUGCCUGUGGAUGCGUGGAAUAUCUCUGGGACUGGGCUUCAGGAUUAACAGUGGUUCUCUCUGGGAGUGCAGCUGGGAGUUCAGGUAAGGCACCUGUUUCAUGUUGUCUAUCCAGGUUGCUCUCCUAUACAGCAGAGUGGCUGGAAUCUGUUCUGAUUGAUGUGUACCCUUCUUGCAACAGUUGUUGAAUAUUUUGGAUGCCUGAGUAGGCAUUUUAGUGUAGGGGUUAAGACCUCCACGUUUCACAUUAGAUUCAACUCCUGUCUCUGGCUUCAGAUUCCAGCUUCCUGCUAAUGCAGACCAUGGGAUGCAGUGAUGAUGGCGUAAGUGAUUGGAUUCCUGCCAGCCGUAAGGGAGAUCUGGAUUGAGUUCCUGACUCCUGGCUGUUGCCCCAGUUCAGCCCUGGCUGGCCCUUGUAGGUAUUUGGAGAGUGAACAAAAAGGUAGGAGCUCUUUGUCUCUCAAAUGAAUUAAAAUAUUUUGAAUGUUACUCUUAUUACACAUUUUUACUUUUUUAGCAUUAGAACAAUCAAGCAAAAAACAUAUUUGCAAAUGUAAAAACAAACUAGUUCCAGAGAGAAUACCAAUGCUUCUAGAGCUUCUAUUUGCCAGUAAACAAGUGUCCCCUUUUCAUUUCUCAUGGACAUUGUUUCCUUCUGUUCUCGCAGUGGGGUCUGUGAAUAAAGCAGCUCUCUCUGCCCUGUGCUCUGGAUCUUUUCUGCAGAUACAUUUAUGAGAAGGCAUUUUGGUUCACAGCCUAGUGAUGAAGAAGGCUCAGGGGCCAGAGGACUGAUUAUGGUUCUAAUUUGCAAUUAUCCAGUGAUUUUUCAUGCUGCUCAAGGAAUUCUGACUUCCUCCCUGUUUGGGUUGGAGAGUUAUAAGGCUCUGAUUUGAUUGGAGUCGGAUAGGCUAUGAUUAUCAUAAGCAUUUGGCAUAUUGAGUUGGGAAGUAUUGGGCAACAAAUGUAAAUUACUUUUUUCCAUUUUCGCUCUUACACAACUGCAUAUUUACUGUUUGCGCCGACCCUGAGUAGAAAAGUGAAAUGCCUUAUCCUGAUGGCCUAAAAAUGGAAACUGAUGAGAUGCCUGGAUUGUCUCUUUAAACUUAAUAUGCAAACAUAAUGCUGAUGAAGCAACGCAGAGCUGAGACAACAUACCUGGAGCCUGGUAAUUUUUGAUUCAGGUGUUCUAGGCCAGUCUACUCCGGUUCUUGAUAAUAAACAUUUUUUUUCUUUUAGUUUUAUAUCUCCAUAAUAAAAAAAGCUGAUUGGCCUUUGUCUUUAGUUUUUGGGAAAUAUUUUCUAAAUUCUUGGUAUUUCUUAAAUGAUAGGAAUGGCUUUUUACUCAUGGUGGGCCCUGAUUGUUUAUGCUAAGGAGAUGACACUAGAUGGGCACUGGCCCUGCCAGAAAGAGGGAUGGUGAGAUUGGAAGGCUGGGGCUUUGAGCCAUGUAGUAUCAGUCUGACCUCCAAGAAGAGGGAAGGGGCACAGCCAAUGAUGCAGUCAGUCAUGCUUGCAUAAUGAAACCCCAGUAAAGACUGACUUUGGAUAUGUAAUCAGGUGGGAAAACUCAAGGGCUAUUGUCUAACAUGGAUGCCAAAGAAACACAUUCAAGUGGUAAGCAGAAAGGAAUAUAUUAGGUUUGGCCAAGACAAGAAGCCAAGGUGGUCUUAUGACCAAAAACCAGGCUCUCUGAACAACCAGGAGUUACAAGUUCUAUAGGGCUUGCUUCUAGCAAAGUUAUACAUAGUCAUUACAUUUUAGAGGAAUUCUAGGAAAUGUUAUGCAUAUUCACACAUACCCACUAAGUUAUCAUGCAUACUAAGUUACAUACAUUCCAUGUUCAGUUGCGGCUGGAGAUUUAACAUUAUAAUUAGGGGAUUUUUGGCUUUCUAUGUGACAAAAGUAAAGUUGAGAAUGAGAUUGUUGCUUAUGAGCAGAAUCUUUUUUUUUCUUUUUUAAAGAUUUAUUUAUUUACUUGAAAGUCAGAGUUAAACAGAGCGAGAAGGAGAUGCAGAAAUAGAGAGAGGUCUUCCAUCCACUGGUUCACUCUCCAGAUGGCCACAACGGCCAGAGCUGUGCCGAUCCAAAGCCAGGAGCCAGGAGCUUCUUCCAGGUCUCCCACGUGGGUGCGGGGCCCAAGGACUUCUACUGCUUGCCCAGGCCAUAGCAGAGGGCUUCAUUGGAAGUGGAGCAGCUGGGACUGGAACCAGCGCCCAUAUGGGAUGCCAGCAUUGCAGAUGGUGGCUUUAUCCACUAAGCCAGAGCAGCGGCCCCAUAGGCAGAAUCUUCAACCAAGUUGGGAACCAAGUUUUUGUCAUCAAGAGGUACCCAUUCAGCGCUGAGAUGUGUCUUGAUCCAGUAAGUUGUGGGUUGCAUCUGCCUGCAAGAACAUCUGGUUGAUUUUAACUAGGAUUGAAUAGGAUUGAGUCCUUUUUCUUUAGGGGGUUGGGUAGGGGUGUCAGAGCGUAGGUGAACUUUCCUGGUUGGCAACCUUUUGUAUCACUGUCACGUAUCAGUGGGGAAGGAAGACACAUCAUGACAGAUACAGGACAGUGAAAACUUUCAUUUGAAACUCUCCAAGAUCUUACCCUGUGUUUCCUCCUUUGGCUCCUUCUAAUUUGUAUCCUUUUGCCAUAAUAAAACUUUAAUUGUAAGUAUAGUUCUUGCUUGUGUACUGUGAGUCAUUCUAGUGAGUUACUAAACCUGAGUGGAUAAUGAGAACCCUGAUUUUGUAGGCAGCUGGUUAGAUGUGAAGGUGAUGUGGGGACCCCCAAACUUGUGACUGGUGUCUGAAGCGAAGCCAGUCUUGUGGCUUGUACCCCUCACUGGUGAAGUUUUACCUAAGUUGGGGUAGCAUGGCCUCAGAAGUCAUUAUAAUUUCCCUAACCUUUUUUUUUUUUUUCCAAGUAGAGUUAUAGACAGUGAGAGAGAGACAGAAAGGUCUUCCUUCUGUUGGUUCACUCCCCUAAUGGCCGCUGCGGUCGGCGCUGCACCCAUCCGAAGCCAGGAGCUGGGUACUUCCUCCUGGUCUCCCAUGUGGAUGCAGGGGCCCAAGCACUUGGGCCAUCCUCCACUGCCCUCCCGGGCCACAGCAGAGAGCUGGACUGGAAGAAGAGCAAUUGGGACUAGUACCUGGCGCCCUAACCGGGACUAGAACCCUGGGUGCUGGCACUGCAGGCGGAGGAUUAGCCAAGUGAGCCACGGUGCCGGCCUCCCUAACCUUUCAUAUAGAAAAUUUAAAACCUAAAAUUCACAAGAGUAGUACAGUGAAAACCCAGUACCUUUUUACUUUGAGUCUCCAAUUUGUUAACCUAUUUCCAUAUUUGCUUUUUUUCUUUCUCCAUACAAUUUUUUUUCUCUGAACUAAUUGAAAAUCAUAGAUAUGUCAUCCUGAAACACUUCAACAUAUAUCUUCUCAGAACCUGGCCAUUCUACUGCAUGACCCCAACAUCAUGAUCACACUUAAGAAACCUAUCAUUGAUACAAUAUUAUCUAGUACACCACAUUUCAUUUUCCCCUAUUGUCCCUAAAAUAUCUCAUAUUUCUUUCCUUCCAACUUAGGGUCAGUCAAGAAUCAUGUAUUGUGUUUGGUUGGCUUGUUUCCCUGGUUUCCUUUUAUCUAAGAUUUUAUUUUACUUAUUUUUUGUCUUUCAUGGCAUUGACACUUUGGAAAGGGCCAGGCUACUUGUCUUUUUUAUUGCCCCAGGAUCUGGAUAUGUCUUGUUAUUUUCUCAUAAUUAGAUUUAGAUGGGCCAGCGCUGCGGCUCAAUAGGCUAAUCCGCCUAGUGGCGCCUGCACACAGGGUUCUAGUCCCAGUCGGGGUGCUGGAUUCUGUCCCGGUUGCCUCUCUUCCAGGCCAGCUCUCUGCUCUGGCCCAGGAGUGCUGUGGAGGAUGGCCCAAGUGCUUGGGCCCUGCACCCCAUGGGAGACCAGGAGAAGCACCUGGCUCCUGCCUUCGGAUCAGCAACAGUGCGCCGGCCGCAGCACGCCGGCUGCGGCGGCCAUUGGAGGGUGAACCAACGGCAAAGGGAGAUCUUUCUCGCUGUCUCUCUCUCUCUCACUGUCCACUCUGCCUGUAAAAAAAAAAAAAAAAUUAGAUGAUACAUCCUUGGCAGGAAUACAAAACUACAUCAAUGAUGUGUUGAUGAAAGGUUUGCAUUGAAAAAGAAGAAAAAAAACCCCACAUCCACAGGGAGGAGCAAAUAUGCCACACAUGUUACACGGAAGAACUGUUUGGGACAAGGGCCAAAGCUUGUGGUGGAGACAAUUUUGCAGAACAGGAAUGCUGGAGUUACUCAUCUUCCUCACUGUCAUCUUCUCACUCUUCUUCUCCUUUGCUUUUUUUUUUUUUUUUUUUUAAGAUUUAUUUACUUAUUUGAAAGGCAAAGUAACAGAGAGGCAGAGGUAGAGAGAGAGAGAGAGAGAGGGGUCUUCCUUCCGUUGGUUCACUCCCAAGAUGGCCACAAUGGCCAGAGCUGCGCUGAUCUGAAGCCAGGAGCCAGGAGCUUCUUCCAGUCUCCCACAUGUUUGCAUGGGCCCAAGGACUUGGGCCAUCUUCUACUGCUUUCCCAGGCCAUAGCAGAGAACUGGAUCGGAAGUGGAACAGCUGGGUCUCAAACCAGCUCCCACAUGGGAUGCCAGCACUGCAGGUGGUGACCUUACCUGCUACAUCACAGUGCCGGCCCCCAUCUUCUCA
This is a non-coding RNA of Oryctolagus cuniculus (rabbit), 8029 nucleotides long. The record is from RefSeq and is a predicted model, not a curated record. Lineage: Eukaryota; Metazoa; Chordata; Mammalia; Lagomorpha; Leporidae.